Molecule: long non-coding RNA, 2546 nt
Filed under: Homo sapiens (human)
Lineage: Eukaryota; Metazoa; Chordata; Mammalia; Primates; Hominidae
Description: HSALNT0277183
Source: RNAcentral
AAACAUGGCUGACGUUCUCAAGGAGUCCAUGGUCUAGUGGAUAUUCAGUAUCCAUGACUGCACAAGUUACCUCAAAAUGCAGCAGCUUAAAACAGCACCAGUUAUUUAUUAACUCAAAUGGUUUCUGUGUGUCAGGAAUCUCAGAGUAUAUUCGCUGGGUGGUUCUUAGGAUUCCUCAUGAGGUUGCAGUCAUCUGAAUACUUGCUCUGGGAUGUAAGAUCUAAUUCUAUGCUGGCUCCCACAUACAUGCCCGGCAGUUGAUGCCAGCUAUCAAUAAGAAGGCUCACGUUUUUGCCACUCCAGAAGUCUGCUUGAGAGUCUUUACAACAUGCUGGCUUCCCCCAAAGUGAGUGGUCCCAAAGACAGCAAGGUGGAGGCAAGGUUAUCUUGAAAACUUGGCCUCAGAAGUAACAUGGCAUCAUUCCUGCAACAUCUUAUUGGUUAUAUAGAUAAAAUAACGUUACUGGGAAUCCUCCGUGCUGAAUGAAACAGCCUCAAAAUUCUUACCAAGACUUCUUCAUUCAAACACCUGGUUAGAGCCAACUAUGAGCAAGCACAUGCUAAGAAUUGGGAAGCAGAAAGAAGAGCCGAGGGGUCCAUCCACGUAGGCUCCACACUGCAGUGGCAAGUGAGACAUACAUCCACCAAUACCCAUGCAUCAAAGGUCCAGCUUCACUGGAGCUGCUCCAGCCUUAUGAGAGCAUUUCGUCACAGCACCUGAAGUUCAACCAUUGUUAAGUGUGGUCCCCACUGAACUAUAAACCAGGCCCAGCAGCCAGAAAACCCAGAUCCCAUUCUGGGAAAAGCUAUAUGUUAGAAAGAAACAUAUGUGAUCUCUUGUUGGGCAAUUCAGUUGCACUUCUUGGCCUAAUUCAUGAAAAAAAAAAAAAAAAAAAACUUGUAAGUAUUAAGCCUUCUUCCCACCCUAGAAUCCUAUGAUUUCAUGCUCUCUUCAGUCUCUCCCAGAAGAAAAUGUCCAGUAUUCAGGAAGCAUAGCUUCCCAGGAAACAGAUAGGGUAGCAGCAGUUUACCCACCCCCUACAUGACAGGAACAAUGAGUCUGCCUCCUAAAGGACGGCAGGGGGCUGGAAGAUUACAGUUCUCUAAAGACAACCUCUGCCAUCCUCCAUAGAGACCAGCACAAAGGCAAUUAAGGAUGAGUAGGAGGCCAGUUUUUAGAGUCCACCAUCAAUAUUUUCUGCAGCCACAGUCCUGAAUCUCACUUCAUCAUCUUUCUGAUGUUGGUAACAAGCGGGCAUUGGGUCUAAGAGAAAAGGAGAAAAAUUAGGGCUCCCAGCUAGACAGGUGAAUCAUGAAACAGCCACUGCCCUGCCGCUUCCCUUCCUGAGCUCGGGAUCACGCGCACCCCAGUGAUGGCAUGGGGGUGACUUUCUGGGCCAGCUGGAGCAAGAUCAAAGGCUGGUAGACAUGUAGGGCCUUGUCUGAAAACUGGCAAGAAAUGUUUUCCUGAUUUAAAGCCAACUGUCUAGAGUGAUGACUGUUAGUUUAGAACAGGAUCCUUGGAUGGAAGUGACAGAGCCAUCCCCCUCCUCAGCAGCAUCCUUAGAAGGGCUCCCUUUCAUCCCCUACAGGAAGUACCAUUCCCAGCAGGCCUUCCAUGCAGGAGCCAUGCUUAAUAUACUGGUUCUUCAGGAACACCCAGAGAAGGAACCUGCCCCCAUCAAAAGCUCAGAGAGUCCUUGUCUAGACACAAUGACAGUAACUUAGCUGAAAUAAGCCACAGAGAGGGAAACAGGACAUAGGAGAAAGGGCACAGAUACUGGAGUCAGACAGUUCUGGAUAUUCAUCCUGGCUCUGCCAUGUACCGGUUACAUGAUUUGUAGUUAGUUAACUCCCCUAUGCCUCAGUUCCUUUGUAUGUACAAUGGGAAUAAUAACAGGACCUAGUCCAUAGAGGUGUUGUUGAGAAACAGACCAUGAGAGAACCAUGUAAAACAUGAGAAAUGAAGUAAAUGAUUCUUUAUUAUUAUACUUUAAGUUAUGGGAUACAUGUGUAGACCAUACAGUUUUGUUAUAUGGGUAUACAUGUGCUAUGGUGGUUUACUGCACCCAUCAACCCAUCAUCUACAUUAGGUAUUUUUCCUAAUGCUAUCCCUCCCCCAGGCCCCCACCCCCUGACAGGCCCCAGUGUGUGAUGUUCCCUUCCCUGUGUCCAUGUGUUCUCAUUGUUCAACUCCCACUUAUGAGUGAGAACAUACAGAGCUUGGUUUUCUGUUCUUGUGUUAGUUUGCUGAGAAUGAUGGUUUCCAGCUUCAUCCAUGUUCCUACAAAGGACAUGAACUUAUCCUUUUUAAAGGCUGCAUAGUAUUCCAUGGUGUCUAUGUGCCACAUUUUCUUGAUCCAGUCUAUCAUUGAUGGGCAUUUGGGUUGGUUCCAAGUCUUUGCUAUUGUGAAUAGAGCCACAAUAAACAUACAUGUGCAUGUGUCUUUAUAGUAGAAUGAUUUAUAAUCCUUUGGGUAUAUACUCAGUAAUGGGAUUGCUGAGUCAAAUGGUAGUUCUGGUUCUAGAUUCUUGAGGAAUUGCCA